Bubalus bubalis (water buffalo) is the source of this 1353-nucleotide long non-coding RNA. RefSeq lists it as uncharacterized. Lineage: Eukaryota; Metazoa; Chordata; Mammalia; Artiodactyla; Bovidae. The record is from RefSeq and is a predicted model, not a curated record. The transcript is spliced from 4 exons.
GAUCCUGGGAGUGGGUGAUCUUUCGCCAAAUGGUUCUCACGGCCAAAGCCCUGUCCCAAGAACAUUACCCAGCAGCCCCACAGGAAAGGCCUACAAACCAGAUGAAUUUCUGCAGGGACUGGAUGAAACGUGAGGCCACCUGAGAGAAAGGCCUGGGGAGGAGGGACGUGUGUGUGAGGAGCUAACAGGAGGUGCUGUCUUCAGUCUCCGUUGUUUGGUGUCUUCGGGUCUUUACCUCAACGGAACACAGUGUCCGGCAGCCUAGGCCUGUACCUCUUCCCCAGCUUCUCAAAACAGCCCUGAGGACAGUGGCCAUCAUCACUCUCCUCCAUUCUAUCGCUCGUCAUCCCCUUUGUGUGUCCCAAGAAGGAGCAAAGCAGAGGUGUAUUUUGGUUUUUUGUUUUUUAAGAUCAAGAGGGGUUUUUUUUUCCCCCUAACUUAAAGAGAAUCUUUUUCUGCAUCUGGAUAGAUUGCCAACAGGCUACAAGCUCUAUCAGGAAUAUCAAACAAUUACAAGAAUCCCAAACCCAGGCUUCCUAUGCAGAGCAGGACUGACAUGCUUCAAAGCAGAAUCAUCUUCCCCCAUCCAGCUCCCAAUUUUUCCACUAAUUCACUGCCCUUCUGUCCCACAAUCCACAAUGAAAGCUGGUGAGCUAGCCCAAGGUAGGCACCCAGGCUGCUGGUUCUAUACAGUGGGCUCAGGUUCUUUCACUUCAAGGCCAGGGUCACCCUCUUGGCUUCCAGACACUUCUAAAUAUGGUAUCAUGGAAGUCCCAUGGACCCAUUCACACUUAUCUACCCCUACCCUUAGUUCCCUCCCUUCCAUGACUCAGGAGAAGAGAGAUCAAGUAGGACGGAUAACAAAAGAACGACUGCUGAGAUGGCAAGAUGGUGGUAAACACAAUAGAAAGAGAAAACAUCAAAGUACUAAGAACUGGAAGCUGGUCCAGGUAGGUCUCCAGGAACUGACAGAUGGGCUGGUAACCUCAGUGGAACACCCAGAGUUAACCUGCCCCAGAGAGUAGCUAUAGCUGGAGUGCUUCAGUGAAGAGCGGACGAUCGCAAAAUCGUAGACACUAAAGAUGGAAAAGACCUUCGAGGUCAUCUUGUCCACUCCUGUCAACUCAGUCCUGUUCCCCACAGCAAAUUCUCAGGGGCUUUCGACAGCCAACUUGUAAAUGAUUCCAGCACCACUGGCCUGCCACUGUUCCCCUGGAGAGACCACUCCACUGUCUAAUAGACCUUUCUGUUAGGACAGAACAUCCCUAUUCUAACUGCCUGGAAAAUCCCAUGGACGGAGGAGCCUGGUAGGCUGCAGUCUGUGGGGUCGCGAAGAGUCAGACAUGACUGAGU